This 253-nucleotide ribosomal RNA is filed under the name uncultured bacterium. RNAcentral's name for it is "partial 16S ribosomal RNA". It matches the Rfam family "Bacterial small subunit ribosomal RNA", at positions 524 to 776 of the family's 1533-position model. The record is from RNAcentral.
UACGUAGGGUGCAAGCGUUGUCCGGAAUUAUUGGGCGUAAAGAGCUCGUAGGCGGUCUGUCGCGUCGGCUGUGAAAACUCGGGGCUCAACCCCGAGCCUGCAGUCGAUACGGGCAGACUAGAGUCCGGUAGGGGAGACUGGAAUUCCUGGUGUAGCGGUGAAAUGCGCAGAUAUCAGGAGGAACACCGGUGGCGAAGGCGGGUCUCUGGGCAGUAACUGACGCUGAGGAGCGAAAGCGUGGGGAGCGAACAGG